AUUGAACGCUGGCGGCAGGCCUAACACAUGCAAGUCGAACGGUAACAGGAAACAGCUUGCUGUUUCGCUGACGAGUGGCGGACGGGUGAGUAAUGUCUGGGAAACUUCCUGAUGGAGGGGGAUAACUACUGGAAACGGUAGCUAAUACCGCAUAACGUCGCAAGACCAAAGAGGGGGACCCUCGGGCCUCUUGCCAUCGGAUGUGCCCAGAUGGGAUUAGCUUGUUGGUGGGGUAACGGCUCACCAAGGCGACGAUCCCUAGCUGGUCUUAGAGGAUGACCAGCCACACUAGAACUGAGACACGGUCCAGACUCCUACGGGAGGCAGCAGUGGGGAAUAUUGCACAAUGGGCGCAAGCCUGAUGCAGCCAUGCCGCGUGUAUGAAGAAGGCCUUCGGGUUGUAAAGUACUUUCAGCGGGGAGGAAGGGAGUAAAGUUAAUACCUUUGCUCAUUGACGUUACCCGCAGAAGAAGCACCGGCUAACUCCGUG
Molecule: ribosomal RNA, 490 nt
Filed under: uncultured bacterium
Lineage: Bacteria
Description: partial 16S ribosomal RNA
Rfam family: Bacterial small subunit ribosomal RNA
Source: RNAcentral